GGGAAUAGAACUAGGAGGGGAGAGACGAGUAAAUCAUUCGCUAGUGUGUCCUACCUAAGCUUAAUUGUUAGUUGGUCAGUAUAUAGGGAUAUUAUGUGAUAUAUUGAUUUCCUUAAUUAACCCUUGUUUUAUGACAGUAUUUGAGAAUGUCGACUGAGAAUAUUAACAAUGGAAAUGAAACCGUGGAGACGCCUGUACUCACCAACGAGGAGAACGUGCAACAGGCUGGUAAUGUUCCUCCUGUGAACAACACCACGGAGCAGAUGAUGAACG
Molecule: long non-coding RNA, 273 nt
Filed under: Panax ginseng (ginseng)
Lineage: Eukaryota; Viridiplantae; Streptophyta; Magnoliopsida; Apiales; Araliaceae
Description: long non-coding RNA (PGIN_LNC008372)
Source: RNAcentral